UUUUGGAAGACAUGGCAUCUAAUCACGACUCAGCAUUGUGGAAAAACCGUCGCUUAUUUUCUCAGGCCAGUUUCCUCAGAAUUUGUUCGUUCAUGCAACUUUAAGAACCUUACUGCACCACAUGGAGAUGUGAGAAUCAUCUUCAUUGUUAUCCAGGUUUACCAUUGGAAUCCUUGUGAUCCAGAAAUAGCUUGUUUAAGAGCACUUACCGUCUUCGGCAGAAAAGAAUGUUUGUGGAGCAUGCUCCUCCGUAUAUUAGCUGUUACUUGAGCGCGAGUGUCUUUUGGAAACAGCCUCUCUACCUCAUGGAGGUAGAGAUAACGUCUGCGUACAGUCUAUCGACCCGGACCUCACCUAUGGGAUUGCACUAGUUCGACGCUGGUGUGAAAUGAAUUUAAUCUGUCCCUUGCUAAAGACUAUUGCACGCAAAGCAUAUUGAUGCAACAAUGCGUUGAAUGGACUUGGGAGUGAUAGCACACAAAACGUUUACAAAGUGAAUGGUACUGUCUUUAAGGUCUUUGCUGAACCAACUAAGAGAACCUUUGAUUGAACGCAACUACAAGAAACAAAAUGAGGUGGCGGAUCAACUUGCAAAACAAUAUGGAUAUAGGAUGCAUGAUAAUAUAAUACAUUUUACUGUUUCUCCUUUGUUUGACUUAGCUUUCAAGGCAGACAAGCUAGGAAUUACUUCCUAUAGAAGCACUACGGUUUGCAGUGAAGCUAAAUCGCUGUCUCUGUAAUAGCACUACCUUUUUUUUUUACUGGGCAAACAUUAUGACACGUGUGGUUUUAAACAUGUC
Long non-coding RNA from Solanum verrucosum, 800 nucleotides. RefSeq lists it as uncharacterized. NCBI's taxonomy places the organism in Eukaryota, Viridiplantae, Streptophyta, Magnoliopsida, Solanales, Solanaceae. The transcript is spliced from 6 exons. The record is from RefSeq and is a predicted model, not a curated record.